This is a long non-coding RNA of Triticum aestivum (bread wheat), 1270 nucleotides long. RefSeq lists it as uncharacterized. Lineage: Eukaryota; Viridiplantae; Streptophyta; Magnoliopsida; Poales; Poaceae. The transcript is spliced from 3 exons. The record is from RefSeq and is a predicted model, not a curated record.
GUCGACCAUCCGGAGCCCCCUGGAGAUGCAUAAAGACCUCCCCGACCGAGUGGACAAACCCUAGCCGUCCAGUUCGUUCCCCUCGCGCCUCUCUGUUCAGAUUUAGAGCUCGCCCUGGUCUUGGUCGUCGUCGUCACCACGGCCACCCUCCACCUCAGCGCCUGAGAAGACGUCGAGGAGCUCCGCCCUCGCCGAAGGGCUCGAGCUAGGACACCUAGUACGCUCGGCAUCGGGCACAUCUUCAUCGGUACAUCGCCGGCGUCCAGCGUCGUUUGCCACGGCUCAGGUCCGUCCCCGGCCUCCCCGACCUCAUCAUCCAACUCGCGACCCCGAGACCGAUGUUGCCCUUGUGAUCGACUUCACAGCGGACAACACUGCCUUUGCCACCGAGCAACCAGGCAAGCCCCCCCUUUGGUCAUCCCGAUAUCGUCCAUUUCCUUUCUCUCAUGCUUGCAUUAUAUUUUGCUACUAUAAUUGUUUGCUCCUAUUCUGAUGCAUAGCCUGCUAAUCUAAUUUAUUUUGCUACUAUAAUUGCUUUUUAAAUUAUAAAAAAAUGCUAAUCUAAUUUAUUUAACUACCGAGCAAAUUGUGGCAGUAGCCUAUUUUAUAAUAAUAACUUAGGUUCAAGUUUUGUUUAUUAUGAAGCUAUUUUGUUUCAACAGAAAAGGAAAAAUAAAAGACUUAAAACCUACUGUACAUAUGGGCUCUAUGCAACUACAGUGCACGUCCCAAGCCCACCAUGGCCUUCUCCUUCUUCCUACUGUACAGGAGGAGGCAGCGCCCUGGCGUGGCCGCGCACACGGCUGUCCAUGCCACGGAUGUCGCCGUGUCGACCAUCCGGAGCCCCCUGGAGAUGCAUAAGGACCUCCCCGACGGAGUGGACAAACACUAGCCAUCCAGUUCAUUCCCCUCGCGCCUCUCUGUUCAGAUUUAGAGCUCGCCCUGGUCAUGGUCGUCAUCAUCACCGCAGCCACCGUCCACCUCACCGCCUCAGAAGACAUCGAGGAGCUCCGCCAUCGCUGUCUCUUUCACCCUCGCUGAAGGGCUCGAGCUAGGAUGCCCAGUACACUCGGCAUCAGGCACAUCUUCAUCGGUACAUCGCCGGCGUCUGACGUUGUUCGCCACGGCUCCGGUCCGUCCUCGGCCUCCCCGACCUCAUCAUCCAACUCGCGAUGUCGGAGCCCAGGAGCUAGAGGCCACCGUCGAUGCCUACUACUACAUGGAGACCGCUGACGACCAAGAGUAGUUAGGAGGCUCCCAGGCAGGAGGC